CUUCGCUUGUCUUCCUGAUCACCCACUUAUUUCGUCUCUCUCGAAAAUGCAGUCAAAAUUCGUAGCUGUCUGCUUGGCCUUGGUGGUCGUCGUUCUCUCCUGUUAUGCAACGGCUCAGGAAGAUCUCAUGAUAACAGAGAGACAGGUCGUGGCAGAACUUGCUGCCCAAAUCCUGCGCGUGGCCCAUGGAUCCUGGAGUUCAGCAGAGGUCCACAAGAGGAAUUCGGGAAUGAUCAACUCCAUCCUCGG
Molecule: long non-coding RNA, 249 nt
Organism: Macrobrachium nipponense
Lineage: Eukaryota; Metazoa; Arthropoda; Malacostraca; Decapoda; Palaemonidae
Exons: 3
Source: RefSeq, a predicted model, not a curated record